UACCCCCCCUCGGAAAGGAAUAGCCCUCGGGAAACUGGGAGUAAUGCCCUUAUAACAUACGUUUGUCGCAAGGCAUUUGUAUUAAACGCUCCGGCGCCAUAGGAUGGACCCGCGUCCCAUUAGCUAGUUGGUGAGAUAACAGCUCACCAAGGCCACGAUGGGUAACCGGCCUGAGAGGGCGAACGGUCACACGGGAACUGAGACCCGGUCCAGACUCCUACGGGAGGCAGCAGUGGGGAAUAUUGCGCAAUGGGGGCACCCCUGACGCAGCAAUACCGCGUGAGUGAAGAAGGUUUUCGGAUCGUAAAGCUCUGUUAUUGGGGAAGAAAAAAAGACGGUACCCAAGAAGAAAGUUCCGGCUAACUACGUGCCAGCAGCCGCGGUAAUACGUAGGGAACAAGCCUUCUCCGGAUUUACUAGGCGUAAAGGGCCCGCAGGCGGAUUUUUCAAGUCUAGCAUGCUGCACCACGCCCUCCAUACCCCCCCUCGGAAAGGAAUAGCCCUCGGGAAACUGGGAGUAAUGCCCUUAUAACAUACGUUUGUCGCAAGGCAUUUGUAUUAAACGCUCCGGCGCCAUAGGAUGGACCCGCGUCCCAUUAGCUAGUUGGUGAGAUAACAGCUCACCAAGGCCACGAUGGGUAACCGGCCUGAGAGGGCGAACGGUCACACGGGAACUGAGACCCGGUCCAGACUCCUACGGGAGGCAGCAGUGGGGAAUAUUGCGCAAUGGGGGCACCCCUGACGCAGCAAUACCGCGUGAGUGAAGAAGGUUUUCGGAUCGUAAAGCUCUGUUAUUGGGGAAGAAAAAAAGACGGUACCCAAGAAGAAAGUUCCGGCUAACUACGUGCCAGCAGCCGCGGUAAUACGUAGGGAACAAGCCUUCUCCGGAUUUACUAGGCGUAAAGGGCCCGCAGGCGGAUUUUUCAAGUCUAGCAUGCUGCACCACGCCCUCCA
Molecule: ribosomal RNA, 954 nt
Filed under: uncultured bacterium
Lineage: Bacteria
Description: bacterial SSU rRNA
Rfam family: Bacterial small subunit ribosomal RNA (bases 1-488)
Source: RNAcentral